This 325-nucleotide ribosomal RNA is filed under the name uncultured eukaryote. RNAcentral's name for it is "partial 18S ribosomal RNA". It matches the Rfam family "Eukaryotic small subunit ribosomal RNA", at positions 1470 to 1796 of the family's 1831-position model. The record is from RNAcentral.
CCCUUAGAUGUUCUGGGCUGCACGCGCGCUACACUGAUGCGCUCAACGAGUUUUAACCUUGCCUGGAAAGGUUGGGUAAUCUUUUUAAAACGCAUCGUGAUGGGGAUAGAUUAUUGCAAUUAUUAAUCUUCAACGAGGAAUUCCUAGUAAGCGCGAGUCAUCAGCUCGUGCUGAUUACGUCCCUGCCCUUUGUACACACCGCCCGUCGCUCCUACAGAUUGAGUGAUCCGGUGAAUAAUUCGGACUGCGGCAUUGACCGGUUCCCGAUCGUUGCUGCGGAAAGUUUAGUGAACCUUAUCACUUAGAGGAAGGAGAAGUCGUAACA